Molecule: long non-coding RNA, 660 nt
Filed under: Mus musculus (house mouse)
Lineage: Eukaryota; Metazoa; Chordata; Mammalia; Rodentia; Muridae
Description: dynamin 3, opposite strand
Rfam family: mir-199 microRNA precursor family (bases 112-191)
Source: RNAcentral
GCAGACAGGGUUCAGGGGGGAAGCUGAACAAGCCCCUGGUGCAGGAAGACAGGCUCUCCCCAGCCCCGGGACAGGAUUUUCCACACACCGAUGGAAGCUUCAGGAGAUCCUGCUCCGUCGCCCCAGUGUUCAGACUACCUGUUCAGGACAAUGCCGUUGUACAGUAGUCUGCACAUUGGUUUUGCAAACUAGGGACCAAGAAGCCCUCAGGGACUCUGCCAGGGGAGAGGACUGCUCCAGGGAAGACCAGCGGAGGAUAUACAAAUAUUUUAGGGAUGGUGGAAUCUAGGGCAGAAGAGAGUAACCAGCAGCAAACAUCUUGCUCUGGAUAGUAUGGCUGUACCGUUCCUUUACUUGAGCAGAGUAAACUGGAUCAGAUUACUUAAGGGAGAGGGGAAAGCAAUACAGAAUUAUAGUAACUUUUAAUGGCUGCUAAUAUAUUCUUCGUAAGUGAAUCACUCUAUUAUGCUUUUCUGUUGUACUGAAUGAAACAACAAAGGAAAUAGUAUUUCAAGGUAUUCCAUUUUUGUAUACUUGACUUUGUAACUACUUGAAUAGCAGCCAAGCUCUUGUGCUCUGAAGUGUUGGACAGAAGCACACGUUUAUCUUCUUGAACUUAAAGAAGUCCAGAUAUAGUUGCACUUAUCAACUCGGUUAAAA